CCCUUAGAUGUUCUGGGCCGCACGCGCGCUACACUGAUGCAUUCAACGAGUCUAAAACCUGCUCUGAUAGGGGUGGGUAAUCUUUUGAAUGUGCAUCGUGAUUGGGAUAGAUGAUUGCAAUUUUUCAUCUUCAACGAGGAAUGCCUAGUAAACGCAAGUCAUCAGCUUGCAUUGAUUACGUCCCUGCCCUUUGUACACACCGCCCGUCGCUCCUACCGAUUGAAUGAUCCGAUGAAUAUCAUGAAUUGAGGAUGCAAGCAGGUUCGCCUGUCUUCAUCUUCGAGAAGUGAAGUAAAUCUUAUCAUUUAGAGGAAGGAGAAGUCGUAACA
This 329-nucleotide ribosomal RNA is filed under the name uncultured eukaryote. RNAcentral describes it as "partial 18S ribosomal RNA". It matches the Rfam family "Eukaryotic small subunit ribosomal RNA", at positions 1470 to 1796 of the family's 1831-position model. The record is from RNAcentral.